RNAcentral lists this ribosomal RNA (497 nucleotides) under uncultured bacterium. RNAcentral describes it as "partial 16S ribosomal RNA". It matches the Rfam family "Bacterial small subunit ribosomal RNA", at positions 28 to 507 of the family's 1533-position model. The record is from RNAcentral.
GACGAACGCUGGCGGCGUGCCUAAUACAUGCAAGUUGAGCGAUGAAGAUUGGUGCUUGCACCAAUUUGAAGAGCAGCGAACGGGUGAGUAACGCGUGGGGAAUCUGCCUUUGAGCGGGGGACAACAUUUGGAAACGAAUGCUAAUACCGCAUAAUAACUUUAAACAUAAGUUUUAAGUUUGAAAGAUGCAAUUGCAUCACUCAAAGAUGAUCCCGCGUUGUAUUAGCUAGUUGGUGAGGUAAAGGCUCACCAAGGCGAUGGUACAUAGCCGACCUGAGAGGGUGAUCGGCCACAUUGGGACUGAGACACGGCCCAAACUCCUACGGGAGGCAGCAGUAGGGAAUCUUCGGCAAUGGACGAAAGUCUGACCGAGCAACGCCGCGUGAGUGAAGAAGGUUUUCGGAUCGUAAAACUCUGUUGGUAGAGAAGAACGUUGGUGAGAGUGGAAAGCUCAUCAAGUGACGGUAACUACCCAGAAAGGGACGGCUAACUACGUG